CAGCCGCCACGGGAAUACAGAGGGUGCGAGCGUUAAUCGGAUUUACUGGGCGCAAAGCGUGCGUAGGCGGCUUUUUAAGUCGGAUGUGAAAUCCCUGAGCUUAACUUAGGAAUUGCAUUCGAUACUGGGAAGCUAGAGUAUGGGAGAGGAUGGUAGAAUUCCAGGUGUAGCGGUGAAAUGCGUAGAGAUCUGGAGGAAUACCGAUGGCGAAGGCAGCCAUCUGGCCUAAUACUGACGCUGAGGUACGAAAGCAUGGGGAGCAAACAGGAUUAGAUACCCGGGUAGUCCCUGUCUCUUAUAC
This 301-nucleotide ribosomal RNA is filed under the name uncultured bacterium. RNAcentral describes it as "partial 16S ribosomal RNA". It matches the Rfam family "Bacterial small subunit ribosomal RNA", at positions 509 to 807 of the family's 1533-position model. The record is from RNAcentral.